Heterocephalus glaber (naked mole-rat) is the source of this 295-nucleotide non-coding RNA. The record is from Rfam. NCBI's taxonomy places the organism in Eukaryota, Metazoa, Chordata, Mammalia, Rodentia, Bathyergidae.
GGAUGGGAGGGCAAUCUGGGUGCAACAUCUGUCACCUCAUUGAUCACCAGGGUUAAUUCAGCUGAUCUAACUGGCUAGGCAGGUGUCCCCUUUCCCCGUCACGGCUCCGUGUGUGUCCCUUCCGAAGCUGUGUGCCUGGUGGAAGAGGACGACCACCCUCGAUAGAGGAGGACCAUUUCCACGGUGAAGGGCAUAUGAGUGGCCAUGCUCCCCUGCUAGAGCCUCCAAGUAGGCUCUCAAAAUAGGAAAAGGGAUAGGGAUGUAGCUCAGUUCAAACGCCCUGGGUUCAAUCCCA